GCGGAGGAAAAGAAACUAACCAGGAUUGCCUCAGUAAGGGCGACUGAAGUGGCAAUAGCUCAUGAUGUGAAUCUGCGGCCGAAUUGUGGUCUCACUUGUGUUAAGGGCUGGGCCAAGUCCGUUGGAACACGGCAGCAGAGAGGGUGAGACUCCCGUUUGCCUGGCCCAUGGAACAAGUGUUGUUGAGUCGAGUUGUUUGGGAUUGCAGCUCUAAGUGGGUGGUAAAUUCCAUCGAAAGCUAAAUACUGGUGGGAGACCGAUAGCGUACAAGUACCGUGAGGGAAAGAUGCAAAGAAGCGCGAAAGCGCUGUUAAAGAGUACCUGAACUUGCUGAAACGGAAGCGAAGGAAACCAGUGCCAGCUGCGUCAUACUUCCCUGACUGCUUGCGGUCGGGGCGCUGUGGCCAGUGUUGUCAGGCUUGGUUCAAGGAUGCGGAAGAGUGUGGGUAGAGUUGAUGCCCAUUGC
This 466-nucleotide ribosomal RNA is filed under the name Halamphora subtropica. RNAcentral's name for it is "eukaryotic LSU rRNA". It matches the Rfam family "Eukaryotic large subunit ribosomal RNA", at positions 50 to 522 of the family's 3401-position model. Lineage: Eukaryota; Bacillariophyta; Bacillariophyceae; Naviculales; Amphipleuraceae. The record is from RNAcentral.